AGGACGAGCGCUGGCGGCGUGCCUAACACAUGCAAGUCGAACGCGCUCCAUUCGGUAGCAAUACUGAUGAAGAGCGAGUGGCGAACGGGUGAGUAGCACGUGAGCAACCUGCCCCGAAGACCGGGACAACACCGGGAAACCGGUGCUAAUACCGGAUAUCCCUAUCGGAUCGCAUGAUCUGAUAAGGAAAUGGAUUCCGCUUCGGGAGGGGCUCGCGGCCUAUCAGCUAGUUGGUGAGGUAACGGCCCACCAAGGCAUCGACGGGUAGCUGGUCUGAGAGGACGAUCAGCCACACUGGGACUGAGACACGGCCCAGACUCCUACGGGAGGCAGCAGUGGGGAAUCUUGCGCAAUGGGCGAAAGCCUGACGCAGCAACGCCGCGUGGAGGACGAAGGCUUUCUGAGUUGUAAACUCCUUUCAGCAGGGACGAUAGUGACGGUACCUGCAGAAGAGCACCGGCCAACUACGCGCCAGCACGG
This 480-nucleotide ribosomal RNA is filed under the name uncultured bacterium. RNAcentral's name for it is "SSU rRNA". It matches the Rfam family "Bacterial small subunit ribosomal RNA", at positions 26 to 516 of the family's 1533-position model. The record is from RNAcentral.